RNAcentral lists this ribosomal RNA (117 nucleotides) under Bathycoccus prasinos. Lineage: Eukaryota; Viridiplantae; Chlorophyta; Mamiellophyceae; Mamiellales; Bathycoccaceae. The record is from RNAcentral.
CUUGGUGUCUUCGUCAAAGUCGAGACACAGCAUCCCUUUCCGAACUGCGUGGUGAAAGGCUUUUGAGAGUAAGAUAGGACACGGGACACUGUCUCUGAAAACAUCUCGAUGCCAAGA